GUGUCAGCCGCCGCGGUAAUACAGAGGGUGCGAGCGUUGUCCGGAAUCACUGGGCGUAAAGGGCGCGUAGGUGGCCUGGUAAGUAGGGGGUGAAAUCUCGUGGCUCAACUGCGAGGCUGCCUCCUAAACUGUCAGGCUCGAGCAGAGUAGAGGCAGGUGGAAUUCCCGGUGUAGCGGUGGAAUGCGUAGAGAUCGGGAAGAACAUCGGUGGCGAAGGCGGCCUGCUGGGCUCUUGCUGACACUGAGGCGCGACAGCGUGGGGAGCAAACAGGAUUAGAAACCCCUGUAGUCC
Molecule: ribosomal RNA, 292 nt
Filed under: uncultured bacterium
Lineage: Bacteria
Description: partial 16S ribosomal RNA
Rfam family: Bacterial small subunit ribosomal RNA
Source: RNAcentral